This 243-nucleotide ribosomal RNA is filed under the name uncultured bacterium. RNAcentral's name for it is "partial 16S ribosomal RNA". It matches the Rfam family "Bacterial small subunit ribosomal RNA", at positions 15 to 252 of the family's 1533-position model. The record is from RNAcentral.
GAUCAUGGCUCAGGAUGAACGCUAGCGGCAGGCUUAACACAUGCAAGUCGAGGGGCAGCAUAAUGGUAGUAAUACUAUUGAUGGCGACCGGCGGACGGGUGCGUAACGUGUAUGCAACCUACCCUUUACAGGGGGAUAACACUGAGAAAUCGGUACUAAUACCCCAUAAUAUUCUGGGAGGCAUCUUUCGGAGUUGAAAGCUUUGGUGGUAAAGGAUGGGCAUGAGUUGUAUUAGCUAGUUGG